Molecule: ribosomal RNA, 492 nt
Filed under: uncultured bacterium
Lineage: Bacteria
Description: partial 16S ribosomal RNA
Rfam family: Bacterial small subunit ribosomal RNA
Source: RNAcentral
AGUGAACGCUGGCGGUAGGCCUAACACAUGCAAGUCGAACGGCAGCACAGUAAGAGCUUGCUCUUACGGGUGGCGAGUGGCGGACGGGUGAGGAAUACAUCGGAAUCUACUUUUUCGUGGGGGAUAACGUAGGGAAACUUACGCUAAUACCGCAUACGACCUACGGGUGAAAGCAGGGGAUCUUCGGACCUUGCGCGAUUGAAUGAGCCGAUGUCGGAUUAGCUAGUUGGCGGGGUAAAGGCCCACCAAGGCGACGAUCCGUAGCUGGUCUGAGAGGAUGAUCAGCCACACUGGAACUGAGACACGGUCCAGACUCCUACGGUAGGCAGCAGUGGGGAAUAUUGGACAAUGGGCGCAAGCCUGAUCCAGCCAUGCCGCGUGGGUGAAGAAGGCCUUCGGGUUGUAAAGCCCUUUUGUUGGGAAAGAAAAGCAGCAGGUUAAUACCCCGCUGUUCUGACGGUACCCAAAGAAUAAGCACCGGCUAACUUCGUG